RNAcentral lists this long non-coding RNA (402 nucleotides) under Mustela putorius furo (domestic ferret). RNAcentral's name for it is "lncRNA (ENSMPUG00000026752.1)". The record is from RNAcentral. Lineage: Eukaryota; Metazoa; Chordata; Mammalia; Carnivora; Mustelidae.
CUGAUUUGCAACCUGUCCUUGGCCUUCAGGUCUUCAAGCUUGCCAUCUCUGCUCCCACCUGAGCUCUUUGAGGCAUUUGCCUUUUCCUUCCUGUGCCACGGUUUAGCACAGCGCCUUCCUCAAAGUGAUCGCUCUGUCAACAUUCUUACGGAUCCGAUGCUGGAGCUGGAUCCCAGGACCCUGAGAUUGUGACCUGAGCGGGAAGCAAGAGCUGGAGACUUAACCGACUGAGCCAUCCAGGUUCCCCAGGAAGAAGGCAUUCUUAAAAAGGAGAUUACCUCGACCAGCCAGAAAUCUGCAUAAAGACUUUCACGUUUCUUCUAUUUUUCCAGGUAAUUAUAUCAAAACGGUCCUAGCGAGGCCUCCUCUCUGCCUCUAGCAUUUUGUGUCACAAUAGUACCA